Molecule: long non-coding RNA, 291 nt
Organism: Pseudoliparis swirei
Lineage: Eukaryota; Metazoa; Chordata; Actinopteri; Perciformes; Liparidae
Exons: 3
Source: RefSeq, a predicted model, not a curated record
UCCACCAGUGUUUUUUUGAUGGACUGGACAAAUAUGUUCCAAAACUGCUGGAGAUGUACAGCAUACGAAGUCCAAGCUGUCCUAACCUGCGCCGUCUGCUUCAUUCCCUCGAUGAACAAACUUCAAACCAGAAGAGAAGAGCAGCUGUUUUGCUUGGACUUCCGCAUUACCUGAGGGAGGACUCCAGCAGUUUCAUCUCUGUCUGUGAGACUACCAGCUCAGAAGGAGAAGCAAGACAAGUGGACAUUGGCCUGCUCAUUGUUGCAGAGGAUGGUGGAAGUGGAAAACAAU